RNAcentral lists this transfer RNA (76 nucleotides) under Actinobaculum sp. oral taxon 183 str. F0552. Its description in RNAcentral is "tRNA-His". It matches the Rfam family "tRNA". From Rfam's summary of the family: Transfer RNA (tRNA) molecules are approximately 80 nucleotides in length. Their secondary structure includes four short double-helical elements and three loops (D, anti-codon, and T loops). The record is from RNAcentral. RNAcentral also lists the same sequence under 3 other names. Lineage: Bacteria; Bacillati; Actinomycetota; Actinomycetes; Actinomycetales; Actinomycetaceae.
GUGGCUGUAGCUCAGCUGGUAGAGCUCCUGGUUGUGGUCCAGGCGGUCGCGGGUUCGAGUCCCGUCAGCCACCCCA